Molecule: long non-coding RNA, 1697 nt
Organism: Cyanistes caeruleus (blue tit)
Lineage: Eukaryota; Metazoa; Chordata; Aves; Passeriformes; Paridae
Source: Ensembl
UGAGGGCUGCAGUGGGGAGUGGGGGGGGCAGGAGAAAGCGGGGCCAGAGACCCAAAAUUGAUGGGUUUGGGAGGGGCUGUGGAGGAGGGGGCUCUGGGGACAGCAGGCACGGCCAGUGGGAAAGGGAAAGGACUGGAGGGAAAGAGGAGAGGAAAUGCGCUGGGCACGGGGCUCCUGGGCCCGACUGGGUGUCCUGGGAUGGGCUGGAACACACUGGGGACCCUGGGGAAGCCUUGGCAAGCCCCGGGCUGGACUGCCACGCCCUGGGCUGCUCUGGGGUGCCCUGGAGGGUCCUGGCCAAGAGAGGAGAGGGUCUCACCCAGCAGAAGAACUCGGGGUACCCACCUGGCUGCUGCCAAUGCCACCAACUCUCUGUGGAGAGACCAUGAGAUGUCAGCGGUCACUGGGGUGUCCCCAGUCCCAGCAAAGGCUGGGGGUGACCAAAGUGCCCCCCCAGCUCCCCCACGGGUGCACCCAGCUCCAGGACUUACCCCGGCACAAAUGGUUUCAUCACCGCUGCCAUCCAUGGCCUGGGGAAGGAAGGAAGGAAGGAAGGAGAGCAGAAUGUUGGUGAGGAUUGGCCCUUGUGGGGCUGGGGGGGAGCCCAGGUGUCCCCAGCCCCCUCCCCAGCCCAGGGCUGUGCCGUGCUCUGAGCAGGGGGUGCCAGGGCAUUUGGGGACACCGCUGCAGGGUGAAAGGCCACGGCGAGAGGGGAAAGGCUGGAAAGAAGAGCCCGGGAAUCGUCCCGGGCUGGGGUGGGGGCAUUUCCCACUUUGUGCCAGUUCAGCCUGGCUUGGCACUGGAGCGCUUGAGCCCAGCUGGGCCGAGUUCAGCCCAGUCUGCGCUCGGAUGGGUUUGGACCUCCUGGUGCCACCUCAGCCGAGCUUGGGACGGGCCUUUGUCCUUGGCUGGGAAACACAGGAGGUGCUGGGGAGAUGGCCCAGGGGAGCAGGAGGGUGGGAUGGGGAGGCCCAGAAGGCCGGGAUUUGGGGGGAGCAGGGCAGGAAAGCGCCGGGGCCCUGCCAGGGAGGAGCCGGCUCCGAGCAUCCCAUGGGGAAGCCGGGCUGGGGCAGCGGCAGUUCCAUGGUGGGAAGGGGAAGGACAGAGGCGAUGGUGGCGAGGAGAAAGCGGCACCUCCUGGGGCCGGAGAGCCCGGCCGAGCCCCUGGGCUGGGAAGAGCCCCCAGGCCCGAGCCCGGCCCGGGGCCUUGGAGCCGCACCUCGCUCUGUGCUGGCAGGCACAGCAGGAUGGAGAAGAGCAGGGCCACGGCGAGCACAGCCACCUUCAUCUUCCUCUUCCUCCUGUGCCAGUGAGUGGGGAGCGCUGGCUGAGGCUGCCCCAGGUGAGGAGCACCUUUAUCCUGCCGGGACUCCUCCCUGCGCCCUCGCCAAGAGCCCCCAGGCCAAAGGCCGGCUUGGCACAGCCCCCAGCCCUGGCCACAAGCCCAGGCCUGGCACAGAGUCCAUCCCAGCUGCGGCACGGAUCCAGCCCCCCUCCCCGCAUCCCUGCGGCUCCCUGCACGGGGCAGCUGCCCCUGCAAGGGCCCAGGCCCCCGCGGCUGCCAAGGGGGGCAGGCAGGGAGCCAAAGGCAGCUGGGGAGCCUGUGGGGACACCCCCCAGUGCAGCACAAUCCAUCCUCCAAGCUGCCCCAUCUCCCGCUGCCCCUGCCCUGCCCCAGCUUUCCCCGUUCACGGGCU